Chiroxiphia lanceolata (lance-tailed manakin) is the source of this 1768-nucleotide long non-coding RNA. RefSeq lists it as uncharacterized. Lineage: Eukaryota; Metazoa; Chordata; Aves; Passeriformes; Pipridae. The record is from RefSeq and is a predicted model, not a curated record. The transcript has 2 exons.
UCAGGGAUGGCCGGGCCGCGAUCGGGGCCGGCAGCGCCGGCUCGGGGUCGGAUCGGUGGAAACCUCCCGGGGCUGGACAUUUCUGCGGGGAGGGAGCGGCGCGUACCGAGUACACCGCCGGAGAUUGCCUCCCUUCGCUCUAAGGUUGGCUUUACGUCCAGGUCUCCCAGCGCCAAGUGCUCGAGCUGGAAGGUUGUCGUGACUGACACAGCUGCUGCUGCUGCCCACGCCCUGGAGGUUAAAUGCUGAGCCCGGCUGUGUAUGAGGGCCCGAUUCGUUCCUGCACCGGGUCCCUUGGGAGCAGAUGGGAUGGGGCAGCCACUCCAGCGAUGUUGUUGGCACACUGAGCCAGCCCCGCCUGCAGCGACACACGCAGCACUCGGGCAAGAGUAGAUCCAGAAAAAACCCCUCAUGUUGACUGGCAGCAUGCUGGAAAUGUAGAAGGGAUUCAGUGGCCUCUAAAGGAAAUACAGUUUUAAAUCCUGCCCUGGCUUCCUCUGAAACCUGCAGUGACUUUACUUUGAACUGCAAGGGAGUGAUAUCCACCCUCAGCUGAUGUCGCAGUGCCAAUAAACACGUUCCAUUUGGAGGAAGGGAAAGAAAGCCUGUCUUGACACUGUGUCUGCUCAACCAGAUAAAGAGAAAAUAUUGUCUUCUGAGGAUUCAUCCUUUCACUGUAGUCCUUCAAAGAACUGUAGAUCUGAGAUGCCCUUCAUGAGUUUGCUUGUAUCAUGAGCAAGGAAAUAGUGGAAGAGCCAUGCUUGUUUUUUCCCACACUGAAGCCAAGAAAAAAAAACUGUUUGAAGAAAAACUGAUGGUAUUUUUCUAAAGAGGUUACUAUUUUUCUUCCCUUUCCUGCUGCAGCUUCUGUUCUCUUUCAUUGCUCUCUUUUCAUGGUAGGAGAGCAGGUGCAAGGCAGAUGCUUUGGCAGUAGAGAUGUUCUAGUACUAUAAUUAUAAUCAACAUUUCUGUGUAAAAUACCCAAGGGUUUAUGCGUGCACAACACAUAUAGGAAGUUCCACAUGGAGUUUUCAGUUGCUUGCUCUUAGUCAUAAAUGCUAACAUGUUUAAUCUUCUGGAGAAUUCCAUUUUUGGAGGGGGUGGGGAGGCAGUGGUGGGUAAGGGGUGAAAUGAGAGGUAAUGUCUCUGGAAAGUACUGGUUUGACCAGGUUUAAUCCUCCCUUGCGUUCAAGAUGCCCUUGGUGUAGUGGAAUGAGAGGAAGCAUUGUGAAUACUCUGCAAAAGCUUGGAUUUAUGAAUGGCAUCAGCCUCAGGUACGUGUGUAAGGCUGACAGUGGAGAAGGACCAGAGGCCUGAGCAGCACUAGGCUUUGUCAUUUUUAUGGGCUUUACAUGGGUAUGGGAUUCCCUAUCACAGGCCAAGUAGCGGGACAAAUCUGUAAUGGAACUCAGGGCCAGAAAGCAGUGGCAGCACAAGCUUUCUGGGAGCACUCCCUGGAGGAGGAGGACAUGGGGUUUGUGUCCUCCUCUGUGCUAUGCAUGCAAACUACAGUGACAGUUGGGGUAAUGCCUUUCUGAGGCAGACACAAGAAAUUAGCUUGGCUUAACAGCACACCUCAGUGAGCACUGGAACCAAGGAUAUAAUUUUCAAUAAAUCAUUUAUUUCAAAAUGUUUGUCUUUGUGUGUGCAAAUGUACAUGUUUCUUUAUUUCUGUAAUAUAACUGUGUACAGGCUGAGAAAUACUUGAAUUUUGUUUGUUUAUUUUAAAACAUACAUCUCCAUUUUUAAUAAAUUAUGCACAAACCUG